CACGCAGGCGGUCGUGUAAGUUUGGGGUUACAGCUCCCGGCUCAACUGGGAGAGCGCCUUGAAGACUGCAGGACUUGAGGGCCAGAGAGGGACACAGAAUUCCGGGUGUAGUGGUGAAAUGCGUAGAUAUCCGGAGGAAUACCAAAGGCGAAGGCAGUGUCCUGGCUGGUGACUGACGCUGAGGUGCGAAAGCUAGGGGAGCGAACGGGAUUAGAUACCCCGGUAGUCCUAGCCGUAAACGAUGACCACUAGGUGUGGGAGGUAUCGACCCCUUCCGUGCCGCAGCAAACGUGAUAAGUGGUCCGCCUGGGGAGUACGGUCGCAAGAUUAAA
RNAcentral lists this ribosomal RNA (332 nucleotides) under uncultured bacterium. RNAcentral describes it as "bacterial SSU rRNA". It matches the Rfam family "Bacterial small subunit ribosomal RNA", at positions 568 to 898 of the family's 1533-position model. The record is from RNAcentral.